Small nucleolar RNA from Podarcis muralis (Common wall lizard), 135 nucleotides. Ensembl annotates it as small nucleolar RNA SNORA17. The record is from Ensembl. Lineage: Eukaryota; Metazoa; Chordata; Lepidosauria; Squamata; Lacertidae.
UCUGCCCCUACAGGCGUUGCAGCCGUGACUGGUGUGCCACGGUUGUGUCAAUAGGCGGCAGAGAGGAACAGGCUAUGUCUACGCUCAGUGUUCUGCAACCUGUGAGCACUCAGAAUGAUUAAUAGCCUGACAGGU